This 75-nucleotide transfer RNA is filed under the name Bacteroides sp. Its description in RNAcentral is "tRNA-Val". It matches the Rfam family "tRNA". Rfam says of the family: Transfer RNA (tRNA) molecules are approximately 80 nucleotides in length. Their secondary structure includes four short double-helical elements and three loops (D, anti-codon, and T loops). Further hydrogen bonds mediate the characteristic L-shaped molecular structure. tRNAs have two regions of fundamental functional importance: the anti-codon, which is responsible for specific mRNA codon recognition, and the 3' end, to which the tRNAs corresponding amino acid is attached (by aminoacyl-tRNA synthetases). tRNAs cope with the degeneracy of the genetic code in two manners: having more than one tRNA (with a specific anti-codon) for a particular amino acid; and 'wobble' base-pairing, i.e. permitting non-standard base-pairing at the 3rd anti-codon position. Lineage: Bacteria; Pseudomonadati; Bacteroidota; Bacteroidia; Bacteroidales; Bacteroidaceae. The record is from RNAcentral.
GGGCGCUUAGCUCAGNUGGUUCAGAGCGUCUGCCUUACAAGCAGAGGGUCGGGGGUUCGAAUCCCUCAGCGCCCA